This 10873-nucleotide long non-coding RNA is filed under the name Capsicum annuum. RNAcentral describes it as "long non-coding RNA (CANN_LNC001219)". The record is from RNAcentral. Lineage: Eukaryota; Viridiplantae; Streptophyta; Magnoliopsida; Solanales; Solanaceae.
UAGUGGUCAUAUGUCACUCCAGUCAUGAAAUGUGCUUCAAAAGCAGGUAAAUUUAUCACCCAUUCGCUAUGGUCAAGCAUUUGAUUGAUCUUGUUGUAACAUUAACACUGUUUUUUAUUGCAUGUAAAGUAAGCACCAGAGGAUUUCAUGUCCUGCAAGUCACAAUUUGCCAUACAUUUUCUAAAAAUUUUUUAUCUCAGCAAGAUUCACUAGAUUACCCAGUAUUUCCCCUGCAUUAAGUACACAAUUAAAAUUGUCCAUUAUUGGCCAUGGUCCAGUCAUUUGUGUUCCUAGAUUCUCCAGGUCCACCCAUAACUCUCUUCUUAGUACAUUCUCCAGGUCCAUCCAUAACUCUCUUCUUAGUACUUGGUCAUUAUAACUAUGGACCAUAGUAAAGCCAAAACACCUGUUGUGUCCCCCUAUGUGUCAACUCACUAUGAAUAAUCUGAGUUGUAGUAUUACGUAUAUGUGUAUCAUAUGUAUUAGGUUUCCACACAAACCUAAUCCUCCCUCCUUAAUGAUCUAUCAAGUUAGCUAAGAAAUACCAAUCCUUGCAAAGAUUGAAAUCCACCUACUAAGAUUUAUUCCUCUUAAUCUUAUUUCCAUUAGACCAAACAGUUUAACAGAAUCUGAAUGCAUAAAUAACUACACUUCCUUCUCCUUCUCAAGUCUGUUUAGCCCUCUGGUGUUCCAAAACACAAUUUUAUCUAUUGGGAAGGGGUUGGCCCCCUCUAUUUUGCCUAGGAGUAGAACCCUUCUGAAGGACAUGCUUUGAUGCACAUAGUAUUUCCUCUUUCUCCACCUGAUUGUGCUCUCAUUGUAUGCAUUAUUACUAACUGUCACAGCUGUAGAGUUAGCACAAAUUCUUCACCCAAGAGAUGUUACUUCUUUGAAAGUGUAUGGUAUCUUUUCUCCAUCUUUCCUCUUUGUCGAACUAUGUUGUUUAUUCUUCUCUUAUGGUUGUUCGCUUUGCCCCCUUUGCUGCCUUGCUACAUUCUCUUUGCCCUACACAUUAUUAUCUUCUUGUUACCUUCUACAGUGUUGAACAUCAUGUCGAAAGUUCUUACAUUUCGUGCAAAACACCUACUUUCAUUCAUAGUCCAGACAUUGUUCAAUGAUCUUUCCAUAGUUAUUCUCAAACAUAAUCCUCGUUGGAUACUUCUUGUUCAGUGGUAUCUCAAUUAAUAUUCGUGCAUAGGUCAUUCUCUCCUUCUUCAUUGCAGCCUAUCUGCCUUUAAGGGAUUUUUUUAACUAAGAUAACAAUUUUGGUUAGAGCAUUCUUGCCCCAAUACUUGACAUCUAGACCAGGUAAUCUGAUUCAAAUGGGUACUUUAUCCAUACAAUCCUUGGUCACCUCAAUGUCUGGACUCCAAGGCUUCACCGCUAUUGGCUUGCAAUUGAACAUUUGAACACAUCCCUCUAUUGCAUUUUUUCUAUUCGCCUAGGUAUGGAAACGGACUAAGAACUCUCCCCAAUUCACCUAGUCUACUUUAUCAAUCCUCAUAUCUUUCCAAAUUCAAUUAAAAAAAACCAUUAGUAAUUGGAGAGGGUUUGGCCCCAAUACAUAGCACACAAUAUCUGUACUCCCGGACUCAAUCUCUUCCUAGAUGUCAUCAAGUAAGAUUUUGACACUAGAGUUUGAUUUAGACGCACUGAAAUCAAAUCCUUCAUUAGCAAUACCUUUCCCUACUCUUCAACUCCACAAAUUUGCCACUGUAGUUGUUGAUUUUGCAAUACCAUCACUAGAUCCUCCUAUAGCUUCCUCAUCCACUAGAUCUGGACAUGAUUUCUCCAAGAUGGUAUAGCUUUUGUUGUAGGCCUCCCCAGAUUUGGGCUCAACUGGAAGGGGGUAAUCCCUUGGUGUAGAUUGAUACUUUUGGUUUGGUUUGCAUCACACGAUUGUGGUAUCCCUCGAAUUCGCAUGCCUUUGCUUGUUUGGAUACGUUGUCCUCUCAUUCCCAUCCAUGAUAAAAAAUUGUUGGUGAAAUCAGCAAUCAUCGAGAGGAAUCGCCAUCCUAGAAAGAGAGAGCGCCUAUUUUUUAUUUUAUCCAAUAAAAAUUAAAGAAGUUUACUUUUUCUUAAUAGCAUCAGAUCUUAACUACUCAGUUGUUACGUCCACUUUGUAUGCAUUGUCUCUGAUCCUUUCAAGCAUUUGAAAGGGUCCAUCUCAUCUUGACAUAAUCUUGUUCUUUCUUUUGCUUGGAAAUAUAUCUUUUCUAAAGUGAAUCCAUACCCAAUCACCAGGUACAAAGGUAAAAAGUUUCCGUUCCUUAUUUGGCUCUUUUGGUUACAUUUUUGUUGGCUUUCUCAAGUUGCAAUUUUACUUUCCCAUGAAUGUUCAUAGCUUUUACCUUAAUUUCUGCAUCUAUACUCACUAUAAUAUCUUUGGACAAAAGAGUUAAGUCCAAUAGAGUCAACGUAUUAAAGCCACAAAUACAAUUGAAAGGAAUUAUACCAAUAGAUCUAUGAAUAAUUUUAUUAUUUACAAACUGAAUUAAUGAAAAUUGAACCUUCCAAGAAGUUAACUUUCCUUUAAUCAUAGCUCUAAGCAUGUUAUGAAAAGUUCUCUUAACCACCGUGGUUUGACUAUCCAUUUGAGGAUGACAGGAAGUAGAACACAGCAAUUUGGUUUCCAAAUUGCCCCAUAAAUACCUUCAAAAAUGACUAAGAAAUUUUGAAUCUCUAUCACUAAUAAUUAUUUGGGAAACACCAUGAAAUUCAUCACAAUACUAACAAAUAAAGUAGCAACAUGAGAUGCAUCAUCACUUUUAUGACAAGCAAUAAAGUGAGAAAAUCUAUCCAGAAUAACAAAAAUGUUAUCCUUACCAUUUCUAGUCCUUGGGAGGCCAACAACAAUAUCCAUAGAAAUAUCUAGCCAAGGACCAGUAGGAAUAGGCAAAAGGGUGUACGAUCCAUGGGGUUGGAUACAAGAUUUAGCAUGCUUACAAUCCAAACACCUAGCACAAAUUCUCUUCACAUCUCUUAUCAUCUUAGACUAAAAGAAAUGUUCACUAAGAAUAGCUAAGGUUUAUUGACACUCCAAAAUGACCCAUCAAACCUUCAUUGUGUGCCCUUUUCACCAAUAACUCUCUCCAUGAAGAUAUAUGCACACAAAAUUUUCCAUUUCUAAAUAAGUAGCCCUCAUUCAAUUCAAAAUUAAGAGUUCUAACUUCAUUUCCCUCCUUAACAACUUCCACACACCUAUUCAAGAACUUGACACUCUUCAAAGACUUUUUCAAAAUCAUCAUCAUUAUAAUAUAAUUCCUUUACACUUUCAAAACCCAUUAACCUAGAAGUCAAGGUAUUCAUCAAUGCAUAUCUUCUAGAUAAAGCGUCUGCCAUAAUAUUCUUUUUAUGUUGCUUAAUAAUUAAUCACAUAUAGAAAAGACUCAAUAAACUCUAUCCACUUGGCUUGCCUCUUAUUAAGAUUAUUGGGGACCCUAAUAUACUUCAAAGCCUCAUGAUCAGUUCUAAUCACAAACUCCUUAUGCCAUAAAUAAUGUUUUCAAUUUGCUAAAGCUCUUAUUGGGGCAUAGAGUUCCUUGUCCUAUGUAUAAUAUUUAAAUGGAGCUCCUCUUAAUUAGAACUCUUUGUCAUAUGUAGAAUAUUUCAAUGGAGAUACUCUUAAUUUCUCACUAAAGUAAGCUAUGGGUUUCCUUUGUUGUCAUGACUGCACCAAUGCCUACUCCACUAGUAUCACACUCAAUUUUAAACAUCUUGUCAAAGUUAGGAAACUGAAGUAAUAGAGUUUUAAGUUUUUAUUUCAAGAUUCUAAAGAUUUUCUCUUAUUUUCUACCCCAAAUAAAAGGUUUCUUCUACUUAAUUACCUCGGUUAGAGGAGCAGAUAGAGGAUUAAAACUCUUCAUAAAUCUUUUGUAAAAGCUCACCAACCCAUGAAAGAUUUCAAUAUCACUAAUGAACUUAGGAGUUGGCCAACUUCUAAUAAUCUCUAUCUUUUUGUCAUUCACCUUAAAUCCUCUUAAACUUACAACAAAGCUAAGAAAAAUAACACGAUCCAUAUAGAAGGAAUACUUUUUAAGAUUUAUAUACAACUUUUUAUUUCUCAACACAUCGAUAUUAUCCACAAAUAUUACACGUCAUCAUCCAAACACUUGUUAUAAGUCAAAAUAACAUCAAGAAAAAACACAAUAAAUCUUUUAAUAAAUGACGUAAGUACAUGUCAUUAAUCGUAUAAAAUGCUUGGUGCAUUGGUUAGUUCAAAAGGCAUCACCAUCCACUCAUAUAAUACAAAUUUAGUUUUGAAAGCGGUUUUUUAUUUUUCUCUAGAUUUCAUUUGAAUUUGAUGGUGUUCACUUCUCAAAUCAAUUUUAGAGAAUAAGGUAGAACCAUACAAUUCAUCUAGUAUAUCAUCAAAUCUAGGAAUGGGAUGUCUAUAUUUUUUCAUAAUUUUAUUAAUGGCAUGUCAAUCUACAAAUCUUCCAUGUCUCAUCCUUCUUGAGUACUAGAAUCACCCACACCGUACAUGGACUUAAACUUUCUCUCACCAAUCCUUUAUUCAAAAGUUCCUCCACUUUGCUUUGUAAUUCUUUGGUUUCUUGAGGAUUUCUCCUAUAAGUCAUUUUUUGGGGUAUUUAAUAAUCCGAUACAAAGUCAAUUUCAUGCUCUAUUCUUCUCAAAGAAGGCAACUCCAUUGGUAUUUCUUUCAAAAAUAGAUCUUUAUAAUCUUGCAACAAAAAAAAUAAUACUUGACAAAGACAAAGAGGUUAGUCCAUUAUUGGAAAGAAAAGAAUAACCUUUAGGUUUAAUAAAUAUGACUUAAGUAGCAUCCUCAAUGUUUAGCUCUUUUAUGCUCUCUUGAUUUUGCAAAAUCAUGCACAUUUUCUCUAUUUUAUGAUUUUUAAAAAAUUUUCUGCUCACCUUUUAUUUGUGAUAAGUCAUUCUCAUUUGACCUCUCAACCUCUCCAUUUUCUUCUCUUGAGUUAUUAUUUUUUGCUCCCCUACUCCUCUCUUUCAUUUUUCUUUCAACUCUCCUAUGUUUUUAUAUUCUUUACCCAGUUGAAAAGGAUAAAGAGAGUUAAGAAUGUGCUUUUUACGAUCCUUAAAUGUAUAUUUAUUUGACCUUUCAUCAAUUUUAUCCGCUACAUCAUAUUUGCAUGGCCUUUCCAACAAUAAAUGACAAUUUUGCAUUGGUACAACAUCACAAAACACCUCAUCAUGAUAAAUUCCAACCUUGAAUUUCAUCAACACUCUCUUGGUCACCUUGAGUUCACCAUAUUCGUUGAGUCAUUGCAAUCUAAAAGUUUUUGGAUGCCUUCUUGUUAGAAGUUUCAAUUGUUCUACCAUAGAUAUACUAGGAAUGUUGACACAACUUUCACUAUCAAUGAUAAAGAAAUAUAAUUGUUCUUGAUCUCUACACCAAUUAUGAAAUAAGUUCUACUUUGAUCAAGAUAUUCCCUUGCUAGAGCACUCAUAUUUCUCCUCAAUACGCAUAAGUUUUUCAAUCAUCAUUAAUUUCUUCUCCAUCACCUUCUCUGAUAAACUCAUCACUACUACUAUCUCCAUUGUCAUCUUUAGAUUCAUCUUUAGUUUGAUAACCAUCAUCAGUCAAAGCAAUGAUAGUUCUUCUAUUAGACCCUCAUUUAUUUUAUGACCGUAUCCUUGACAUUUAAAAUACUUUAUUUUAGUUAGAGUUUCAAGUUUAGCUUUGUUACCUCAUCCUUGUAUUCCACAUUUUGAUUUGCCUUUGUCUAAUGUUUACUUGAAAGUUUGUUUUGCACCUUUGGAUUUGUCUCAAGUGAGAUAAUUUUAAACUUUUUUAUUCUUAGCCAAUGAAGAAGAAGAUUGAACCUUUGACUUAUUCUCAUUUUGAUAACCCUCCACUUUGAAUGCCAUUUGAUAAGAUUCAAAUAAAGUAAAAAGAAGAUACAAUUCUAACGGUUGAGUUACCUCCUUAUAUAAGAACCAGAUAAAUCUUUUGACAAGCUUCACAUCUUUAACAUUGACAUUAGCUCGAAGCCUAGUAUGCUCUAGCUUCUCAUAAUUACCUUCCACACUCCUGCUUCCUUGUUGAAUAUUGUAAUAAUUCUUGAGUGUAUUUUGUUCCUACUAUUGACCCACAAAUCUUUCUCUCAUACACCUUUUCAUUUCAAUCCAACUUAUAACAAAGUUUCAUUUCACUAAAGCAUCCCUUUCAAUUUUCUCCCACCAUGUAGAAGCAAAACCCUCAAGGUGACUUAUAAUAUAAUUCAUUUAUUUAAAAUCAUUCACAUUGUUGAGAUUAUAUUGCAUUUAAAAUUUCACAAUCCAAUCAAGAUAUUCAUUCAGAUCACCAAUUCCUUUGAAGAAUGAAAGUGUAACCUUGAUAUUAUUGAAUCCUUAAUCUUCAUCGUCAUUCCUUCUAUUGUAUUCUCUUAUGUCAAUCUGACCAACCUCCAUUCCCUUCUCUUCUUUCUCUCCCACCUAACCUCUCUUGUUGAACUUGAUCAUUGACUCGAUAAUUAUAAUUAUCACCAUCAAAAGAAUCAUGCUUUAUAAGGUUAUUAUGGACUCUUAUUUGAGGUUUAUUUUCUUGUGCGAAAAGAUUUCUUUUUUGAUUUUCACCCUUUGAAAGUGUUGCUUGAUUGUAAAAUUUUCGUAAAGUAGAUCUAGGAUAUAGAUAUCUUACAUAUCAUGUGGGAUGGAGUUGUAUUGGGAGGAGUCUUACUUUAUCCCUCACCAUGUUGACCAAUGGGAUUUAAAACCUCAAGUGGUUGCUUUGAUAUUUCUUGAUUUCUUACCCUUCUAACCACAUCUUUCAAUUUCCCUUCAUUUCUUCCAAAAGUUUUUGAAGCAAUAUUUCCAUUUUUUAGAGUAAUCUCCUAUCAGUUGAGUCAUUGUACCUACAAAAUAAAUAGAGUUACUAUAAGGAGUUCCUCACCACUCAGUCACAUCAUGUUUCCCUAUCUUUGUCACUCGCACUCAUGUAUCACUCUACGACCAAAGGCUUUUAAGGCCAACCUUAAAUGAAAUGACCUCACACUUGUCUUUUACUACUAUUGAAUAACUCAAGAUUGAGAGUCAACACCGUAAAAUAAUUCACAAGUGGGACUACUUCUUUGGGAUGGAGUGGAGUUUAUGUAAUUAAGAAACAAAAGUUAAAACUAAAGGACAAAGAAACAAAUAAUCAUACAACGAAAUAAAAGAAAAAGUCAUAAAAUAAUUUGACACGAAAAAUUAAAUGGGCAAAAAAGCUAGUUUAACAUCAAGUAUGAAUUAAUACUCAAAGUAAAAGUACUAGAAUUAACAAGAAUAUAAGAGAAGACAAGUUUGAAAGAUUUGGACUAUUUUGUAAUUCUCAAAUUUAGCUUCUUCUCCAAGAAGAAGCUUAAAAAAUUAAAAAACAAAAAGUCAAUACCCUUCAAUAACUAAAUAAAUGAGCUCAAAUUUGAGGUAUAACUUCCCCACAACUCUAUUAACAACUUCUAACCAACAAUUUCCUCAACCAAAUAAAAUCAACAAAACUCAUUUCCAAAUUUUUUCUUCAAAUUGGCUUCAAUUUUGUAAGCCUUGUUUUCUUUAGUUUUUUUUUUUAAACUAUGAAACAACAACAUGACACUCAAGGAAUAAUAUCAAACAAACUUUAAUCAAAUUUAAAUUUUGUGAAUUUUGUUGUUUGAAAAUAUCAAAACCAAAAGACUUCUAAUCCAAGCUCUUAAUACCAUUUGAUGGGAAACAAGAAAAUAAACUUGAUAUGAAUUAAAAGAAAGAAAUUAAAGAGAGAUAGACACAAAUAAAUUCAAAUAAUUAAAAUAUGUAAUGGUGAACCUAAUCAAAACACCACUUAAUUACAAAUUAAGAGUACCUAAUCUAUUAGAAUCCUCAAAAAGGUAGAAACCUACUUACAAAUCCUAGGACAAAUGUUGAAGUUCAACAAAGGGGUCUUCAAGCUCUCUAAGAAGGAAUAAUUCAUCAAAAUAUCAAAAACUAAUGGUUCAACCCUAAUAGCUAACUAUUUAUAACAAGAGUUAAAGAGGUAAAGAAAGAUUGAAUUGUCCUUUAUUUAAAUUAGAAGCUACUUUAAAUGGUAAACACUUAAUAUAUUAAAAAUCUUCAAGUAAUCCAUCUUGGAACCUUCCAAAGAUUUCAUAUUCAUCCAUAAAUCUUGAAAUUCUUAAAGGUCCUUAGCUUGACUUCUUGUGAAAGACCUUCAUAAAAUAGUAUCACUUUGUGCUAGAGCUAUUUACAACCAUCCAUACUGCAAUAUAGAUCAGGCUACCACAACUUCCCACCAAACUCUAUGACAAAUAAAUCUUAGAAAGAGUAAGGAAAGAAUUGGGCUCAUUCCUAAAGAUAGAUACGUGUACCUCUGCUACCCUUAGGGGACACUAUGCAAGAAUUUGCAUAUAGGUUCCACUAGACAUACCAGUCAAAAUAGAGAUCACCAUCAAAACACAUAAAUAACAAGUAAUCUAUGAAGGAAAAGGCAUUUUACACACUAUCUGGGAAAAUUGGUCACCUUGCAACGAGUUUAGUUUCAACCAAAUUAAACAACCACCAAGUGGGACACCCUCCAUAUCAAUAGGAGUGCCCAUCACUGAAAACUUGGCAAAUAGUAUUAAGCCCAAGAAAGAAAAAUAACAUAAUUCCAAUAGGUUAAAUACACACAUUGAUACAACCUGAAAUUAUAAGAGGCACCCCCACACUACAGGUAACAACAUACGAUCCCCAUAAAGGUAAGCUCUAAGGUAAGCUCUCUAACUUAACAACUAUAGAUACAAUCCCUAUUUUCCAUUAGAGCUCUAAUAGUCAAGACACAAAAAAUGAAAAAGUUAUAGUAGGCCCAGUAAUUAGGCUAACAUGGCCCAAACCAACCAAUUUGCUAGCACUAGUGAAGAUACACAUCUUGAGUCCUCAACAUCAAAGAAGGGUAAUUCCAUUCCCACUACUUUUCCAAAAGGGACCCAAGCCUUAACUACCUAUGCCUCUACUUUGUUCCCUCCAUGUGGAAAAUUCCUCAUCUCCGUCUCAGAGAAACUACAACUCUGGAGAAAAUAAUCAAUACCUGGAUUUAGUUAAAGUGAAAAUAGUCAUCGUAUUAACAGAUAUCCCUUUGUCUAAAAAGCCCCAAUUAAAGAACCCAAAACUCUCACCAACAUCCCCACUUAUGUGCUUCACCCAUUUUCUCAAAAUCCAAAAAAUGGAAAACCAAGAUAAAUCCAACAAACAACCACCUCUACUCCAGUUGCUUGUCUUCAUCAAUGCACCCUUUUCUCCAAACCAUAAACCACUCCCAUGGAUGGAACUAAAAAUGAAAAAAAUGCAUCAAAUUAUAGUUCCUAGCAAGAAACCAACAAAUAGUCUUAAUCUUCUAAGAUCCAAUAUUCCUAGCCUAAAUCAUUAAAAAAGGGGUUAGACCAUAUAAUAGAGAAUAUGGGGACCCAGAUUUAGCAGCUAACUCUGCUUCAUAUCUAUCUUACAGGAAAUAUCAACAUGAAUCACUGUAAGAACUCAAUCUGCUAAUAGGACAAACCUUUCACCAGUUAUUUUUUUCAUUAAUCUGGUCUCUUUUGAGCUCCCAGAGAGAACUUUGUUCUAUAGAUACAGCAGGAAACCUCUUCCUAAGCCCAAUGCUCAACUUACACAACGGGGUAAGGAGGAAAAGAAAAAAUAGAAACCUCAACACUAGAAAUAUUGAGAAUGAGCAACCAAAAAUAUAAUAAAUACUAGGUAUGUUUUGAGAGUCAAAUACCAAAAAAUUAAAGUUAGAAAAACUCUAUCGAAAAGAGUUCAAACAACAUUUCAGCACAACUAUUAUAGCUACUUAUCGCAAGAUAUUAGAAUCACUAACCCUGAGCUUAAGAGAUACAAAUGAGAAAAUACUCAGUGUUGUGGCUCUGAGCCUAGUGAGAAAAUAGAGAAGGCCUCCUAAAAUAGGGAAAGGGAAGAGCAUUAUAUCUUAGGCACAAUAACACCCAGAUCUAAUGAACAUUAUUAUCAAGAAUUAUAGAGGUGCUAUAACGCCAAUGUGAGGCCAUGUCCCCCAACUAUAAACCCUCUAUAUUGGUUCUACUAGAGACCGAGAUGACUGAGCAUAUGUAGCUAACCCAAGACCUUAAGUUUCACUCCCCAAUCCAAUCCCUUAUUAAUGGUGUGGUUGGAGGUACAAUGAUUAUAUAGAAGGGUGGCAUCCUAAAUCUUAAUGAUAUCACUGUCACCACCCAAGAAAAACAUGCUUCUGUGAAAAUAAAUCCUGAUUCCCCCUUUGGUACUUGAUGUGCCAUGUUUCAUGGCAUUUUUAAUGCUUAAAAUAAUGAAAUUGUGCAAGUACUUAGGCAUUUUUUGUUAGAUGUGAUUUGUGUUUGUUUUACAGGAAAAUAGAGUUGGAAGUGAGUAAGAUGAAAUUAGGAAGAAAAAUCUUCAAAAAUUGAAGUCUCUGCUUUGACAACGAGUCAUUGGAUGAUGCUACGACUCAUCAUCCAAGUCGUUGUAUGACCAGUGAAGAAAUCAAAGAAAAAUAAUAAAGUAAACACCGGCUACGACUCAUAUGAUCUAACUAUGAUUUAUAGUUAAUAUUGAUUUGAGCAAAAAUAUGACAAAGUACUGAAAGAAUUUAAGUCUGAUCCCAGUGGAAAUGAUGUCGGUGAUAAGUUAUGGAAUCUGACUAUGACUCAUAGGACAGGUCAUCCAAAGUAUAUGGAAUAAAGAUCUAAAAGCUGAAAAGCUACUGCAGAAGCAACGAUUCAGGAAAUAACUCAUCAGGAGAUGUGAUGAGUCAUCAUCAAAGAGCAAUAAAAAUAGGAUAGGAGUAGACAACGAGUUAUCAUUAUUCCAAACGGCUCGUUGUCUGAGGCAUUACCACUGCCGUCCUUAUUUACAUAUUUAGUUUUUGCUAGAAUUUUUAUGAUUUAUUAUGUAACUAUAAAUUCCCCAUGGA